RNAcentral lists this ribosomal RNA (539 nucleotides) under uncultured bacterium. RNAcentral describes it as "bacterial SSU rRNA". It matches the Rfam family "Bacterial small subunit ribosomal RNA", at positions 774 to 1314 of the family's 1533-position model. The record is from RNAcentral.
AGUCAAUAGAUACCCUGGUAGUCCAUGCCGUAAACGAUGAUUGCUAGGUGUGGGGGGGUCUGACCCCUUCCGUGCCGGAGUUAAACACAAUAAGCAAUCCACCUGGGGAGUACGGCCGCAAGGUUGAAACUCAAAGGAAUUGACGGGGGCCCGCACAAGCAGUGGAGUAUGUGGUUUAAAUUUGAAGCAACGCGAAGAACCUUACCAGGUCUUGACAUCCACCGAAUCCUGUAGAGAUACGGGAGUGCCCUUCGGGGAACGGUGAGACAGGUGGUGCAUGGUUGUCGUCAGCUCGUGUCGUGAGAUGUUGGGUUAAGUCCCGCAACGAGCGCAACCCUUGUGAAUAGUUGCUACGAAAGAGCACUCUAUUCAGACCGCCGUUGACAAAACGGAGGAAGGUGGGGAUGACGUCAAAUCAUCAUGCCCCUUAUGACCUGGGCUACACACGUACUACAAUGGCCGUUAACAGAGGGAUGCAAUACCGCGAGGUGAGCGAACCCCUAAAAACGGUCUCAGUUCAGAUUGCAGGCUGAAACUCG